This 405-nucleotide long non-coding RNA is filed under the name Panax ginseng (ginseng). RNAcentral's name for it is "long non-coding RNA (PGIN_LNC000824)". The record is from RNAcentral. Lineage: Eukaryota; Viridiplantae; Streptophyta; Magnoliopsida; Apiales; Araliaceae.
CUAAGUGUUCAUGUAAGAGUUUUACAUUUUUUGAAUCCUUUAAAUCAGAAUUCACUUUUAAGUUCAUUAUCAAGCGUUCGUUUAUCGUUCUUGAGUGUUCAAUACUCGUUUUCUUCGUUCUAAGUCAGAAUUCGACGAUUCUUGAGUCCACGACUCUUUAAUACCUUAACUCAUGUGCUGACAUUUAAAACCAACUUUUCCAAGUCACACAACAACUUUUGACUACUAAUUCGAGAUUUUUACAUUUUUGACGUUUAACGUCUAAUUCCGUAAAAUUCGUCAUAACUUCGUUACUCGUGUUCUAUAUGCCAAAUAAAAUGGAAUACCUCCAUUGAUUCCUUACCUUCAUCCUAACCAAGCAAAAUGCACAUAUCCUAUCAAAUAUGGUUUUCAAUUUGUCCAUCA